Molecule: non-coding RNA, 1797 nt
Organism: Callithrix jacchus (white-tufted-ear marmoset)
Lineage: Eukaryota; Metazoa; Chordata; Mammalia; Primates; Cebidae
Source: RefSeq, a predicted model, not a curated record
CAAUCAGCUGCGGAGACGCGGGGCCUGACUAAGGAGCAGUCCUUUGGCGCCGUCUGUUCCGGGCUGCGGGAUUGGAGGCGGUGGUCUAAGAAGGACAGCCAGGGCAACAGCUAGUCAGUCUCUCGCUUCUUGUCUUCAGCAUUCCUGUUUCCGAGCGCCUCUGAAGGCGCACGCUCUGGACCUGUUCAAAAGAGGGAAGGGAACCGGUCUGUAACUCCCACAAUUCCCGAGGUUCCCACUUCUCCAGAUCCGGCAAGGCUGUUUCGCUCCAGUGGCCGGGUCUAAUCCCUGGCCCCUGCACCCUCAGCCUAGUCGUUCUUAAUCAUAAGUGCUAAAGGGAGCAAAGGAGGAAAACUCAAGAAUCCACACAUAAGCCCAAACCCUGACAUUAGUCUUUUCCCCUCGCAUCUCCCGCCUACACUGCCUCCUAGUAGCUUUUUAACCAGAACUGCUGAAUGGCGUGUAAGUUACUUUCACUGGUUGAAUUAAACGCAAAAUAGGUUUAGGCUGAGAUAUGGGUAAGGGCCUUGGCGAUCUGAGAAAGAAAGACUGAGUCCGGAUGUCAAGAGGCCUGGGCCUCACGAGGGAAGUUUCUCAGCUUAUUUGAACACCGCAGAGUUGAAGAUCUUGUUACUGCUAUUUCUGUGCUGGUGAAUCAGUAGAGACCUUGAUGCCAAGUUUCACUCUGUCAUCCAGACUGGAAUGCAGUUGCACAGUGUCGGCUCACUACAACCUUUGUGUCUCAGGUUCAAAUGAGUCUUCUGCCUCAGCCUCCUGAGUAUCUGGAACUACAGUGUCCAGAUACAAGGAGGCCUGGCUCUCUUGGAACUCAUGCUUUGAGGAUGCCCAAGCAGCUCAUGAAAAGGAAUCAAGACUUGGGUCUGAAGAAGCACUCUGGCAAUAGCCAGUACCAACUUUACAGCUAUGUGAGUGAGAAAUCUUGAAGGUCAAAUUACAAUUCCUAAUGUUGGAGGUGGAGCCUGGUGGGAGGUGACUACAUCACUUCAGUGGAUUUCCCUCUUUGGUGCUGCUCUUGGGAUAGAGUUCUCACGAGAUCUGGUUGUUUAAAGGAGUGUGGCACCUCCCCCACCUCACUCUCAUGCUUCUGCUUCAGCCAUGUGAGACGAGCCUGCUUUCCCUUUGCCUUCCGUCAUGGUGAGACAGUGUUUUGCCAUGUUGCUGAAGCUGGUCUCAAACUCCUGGACUCAAGUAAUGGAACCACCUACCUCAGUUUCCUAAAGUUCUGGGAAUACAAGUGUGAGCCAGUGUGCCUGGCCAGUAUUCUUUUCUUUUUUAACCUCUAUAUCUUCAGUGUGUAGAAGAGUACUUGAACAAAAGAGGCACUCAAGAACUAUUGCAACAGUGACUGACACGGGGUCAAUGCUCUAUGGAGUCUCGCUCUGUCGCCCAGGCUGGAGCGUAGGGGUGCACUUGGCUCACUGAAACAUCCACUUCCCAGGUUCAAACGAUUCUCCUGCCUCAGCCUCCUGAGUAGCUGGGACUACAGACCAAUGUUUGAUGGGACUUAGGUGGAAGGAGGCCUGUGAAAAAAGAUGGAAAAAUGAGAAGCCCCAAAUUUUCAACCCUUUCAAAUUUAUGAAAAUGACAAAGGAAUCAAAGCCCUUUCCAACUGGAGACUCCUGAAGAUGAAUCAGCUCAAUGGAUGACACCUUGCAAGAUGAUCUGCCUCCUGGGCUUCUGCAGAUAUAAAAAAGAAAAUGAAUGAGAAGGUGAAAAAGAAGAAGGAGUAGAGGCAGGAAAAAAAGACAAAGAAGAAGAAAGGAGGAGGAAGAAGAG